GUACUGCUGAAGAGUCUCAAACUAGGACGAAACAGUUGUCCAGUAC
Molecule: non-coding RNA, 46 nt
Organism: Trichobilharzia regenti
Lineage: Eukaryota; Metazoa; Platyhelminthes; Trematoda; Strigeidida; Schistosomatidae
Source: Rfam